AGGCUCCUGUUGCCAAGCAGGA
RNAcentral lists this unclassified non-coding RNA (22 nucleotides) under Chlamydomonas reinhardtii. RNAcentral's name for it is "small RNA Cre_0562". Lineage: Eukaryota; Viridiplantae; Chlorophyta; Chlorophyceae; Chlamydomonadales; Chlamydomonadaceae. The record is from RNAcentral.